AUUGAACGCUGGCGGCAGGCUUAACACAUGCAAGUCGAGCGGGGGAAGGUAGCUUGCUACCGGACCUAGCGGCGGACGGGUGAGUAAUGCUUAGGAAUCUGCCUAUUAGUGGGGGACAACAUCUCGAAAGGGAUGCUAAUACCGCAUACGUCCUACGGGAGAAAGCAGGGGAUCUUAGGACCUUGCGCUAAUAGAUGAGCCUAAGUCGGAUUAGCUAGUUGGUGGGGUAAAGGCCCACCAAGGCGACGAUCUGUAGCGGGUCUGAGAGGAUGAUCCGCCACACUGGGACUGAGACACGGCCCAGACUCCUACGGGAGGCAGCAGUGGGGAAUAUUGGACAAUGGGGGGAACCCUGAUCCAGCCAUGCCGCGUGUGUGAAGAAGGCCUUUUGGUUGUAAAGCGCUUUAAGCGAGGAGGAGGCUACCGAGAUUAAUACUCUUGGAUAGUGGACGUUACUCGCAGAAUAAGCACCGGCUAACUUCGUGCCAGCCGCCGCCGUAA
RNAcentral lists this ribosomal RNA (501 nucleotides) under uncultured bacterium. Its description in RNAcentral is "partial 16S ribosomal RNA". It matches the Rfam family "Bacterial small subunit ribosomal RNA", at positions 30 to 523 of the family's 1533-position model. The record is from RNAcentral.